RNAcentral lists this unclassified non-coding RNA (378 nucleotides) under plant metagenome. Its description in RNAcentral is "partial contains 5.8S ribosomal RNA, internal transcribed spacer 2, and large subunit ribosomal RNA". The stretch from base 1 to 105 matches the Rfam family "5.8S ribosomal RNA", at positions 50 to 154 of the family's 154-position model. The record is from RNAcentral.
GAAAUGCGAUAAGUAAUGUGAAUUGCAGAAUUCAGUGAAUCAUCGAAUCUUUGAACGCAUCUUGCGCUCCUUGGUAUUCCUUGGAGCAUGCCUGUUUGAGUAUCAUGAAAUCUUCAAAGUAAAUCUUUUGUUAACUCAAUUGGCUUCUACUUUGGUAUUGGAGGUCUUUGCAGCUUCACACCUGCUCCUCUUUGUUCAUUAGCUGGAUCUCAGUGUUAUGCUUGGUUCCACUCGGCGUGAUAAGUUAUCUAUCGCUGAGGACACUGUGAAAGGUGGCCAAGGUAAAUGCAGAUGAACCGCUUCUAAUAGUCCAUUGACUUGGACAAUACUUUUAUGAUCUGAUCUCAAAUCAGGUAGGACUACCCGCUGAACUUAAGC